Molecule: ribosomal RNA, 253 nt
Filed under: uncultured bacterium
Lineage: Bacteria
Description: partial 16S ribosomal RNA
Rfam family: Bacterial small subunit ribosomal RNA
Source: RNAcentral
UACGUAGGGUGCAAGCGUUGUCCGGAAUUAUUGGGCGUAAAGAGCUCGUAGGCGGCGUGUCGCAUCGGCUGUGAAAACCCGAGGCUCAACCUCGGGCCUGCAGUCGAUACGGGCAGGCUAGAGUUCGGUAAGGGAGACUGGAAUUCCUGGUGUAGCGGUGAAAUGCGCAGAUAUCAGGAGGAACACCGGUGGCGAAGGCGGGUCUCUGGGCCGAAACUGACGCUGAGGAGCGAAAGCGUGGGGAGCGAACAGG